This 1063-nucleotide ribosomal RNA is filed under the name Nodulisporium sp. 5078. RNAcentral's name for it is "eukaryotic LSU rRNA". It matches the Rfam family "Eukaryotic large subunit ribosomal RNA", at positions 63 to 1161 of the family's 3401-position model. Lineage: Eukaryota; Fungi; Ascomycota; Sordariomycetes; Xylariales; Xylariaceae. The record is from RNAcentral.
AGACAACAGGGAUUGCCCUAGUAACGGCGAGUGAAGCGGCAACAGCUCAAAUUUGAAAUCUGGCCCUAGUGGUCCGAAUUGUAAUUUGUAGAGGAUGCUUUUGGUGCGGUGCCUUCCGAGUUCCCUGGAACGGGACGCCGGAGAGGGUGAGAGCCCCGUACGGUUGGACACCUAGCCUCUGUAUAGCUCCUUCAACGAGUCGAGUAGUUUGGGAAUGCUGCUCUAAAUGGGAGGUAAAUUUCUUCUAAAGCUAAAUACCGGCCAGAGACCGAUAGCGCACAAGUAGAGUGAUCGAAAGAUGAAAAGCACUUUGAAAAGAGGGUUAAAUAGCACGUGAAAUUGUUGAAAGGGAAGCGUUUGCGACCAGACCUUUUCCGGGCGGAUCAUCCGGCGUUCUCGCCGGUGCACUUCGUCCGGUCUAGGCCAGCAUCGGUUUCCUUAGGGGGAUAAAGGCUUGGGGAACGUAGCUCUUUAGGGAGUGUUAUAGCCCCUUGCGUAAUACCCUUCGGGGGACCGAGGACCGCGCUCUGCAAGGAUGCUGGCGUAAUGGUCGUCAACGACCCGUCUUGAAACACGGACCAAGGAGUCGAACAUUUGUGCGAGUGUUUGGGUGUUAAACCCUCACGCGUAAUGAAAGUGAACGGAGGUGAGAGCCCUUACGGGUGCAUCAUCGACCGAUCCUGAUGUCUUCGGAUGGAUUUGAGUAAGAGCAUAACUGUUCGGACCCGAAAGAUGGUGAACUAUGCGUGGAUAGGGUGAAGCCAGAGGAAACUCUGGUGGAGGCUCGCAGCGGUUCUGACGUGCAAAUCGAUCGUCAAAUCUGCGCAUGGGGGCGAAAGACUUAUCGAACCAUCUAGUAGCUGGUUACCGCCGAAGUUUCCCUCAGAUAGCAGUGUUGUCUUCAGUUUUAUGAGUAAAGCGAAUGAUUAGGGACUCGGGGGCGCUAUAUUGCCUUCAUCCAUUCUCAACUUUAAAUAUGUAAGAAGCCCUUGUUACUUAAGUGAACGUGGGCAUUCGAUGUACCAACACUAGUGGCCAUUUUUGUAGCAGACUGGCGAUGCGG